CCUACGGGAGGCAGCAGUGAGGAAUAUUGGUCAAUGGACGAGAGCCUGAACCAGCCAAGUAGCGUGAGGGAUGACGGCCCUAUGGGUUGUAAACCUCUUUUGCCAGGGAGCAAAGUGCCGCACGUGUGCGGUUUGGAGAGUACCCGGAGAAAAAGCAUCGGCUAACUCCGUGCCAGCAGCCGCGGUAAUACGGAGGAUGCGAGCGUUAUCCGGAUUUAUUGGGUUUAAAGGGUGCGCAGGCGGUUUGUUAAGUCAGCGGGAAAAGCCCGGGGCUCAACCACGGCCUGCCGUUGAAACUGGCAGUCUUGAGUUGGAUAGAAGUAUGCGGAAGUCGUGGUGUAGCGGUGAAAUGCAUAGAUAUCGCGCAGAACCCCGAUUGCGAAGGCAGCAUGCUGGCUCGACACUGACGCUGAGGCACGAAAGCGUGGGUAUCGAACAGGAUUAGAUACCCUAGUAGUC
Molecule: ribosomal RNA, 459 nt
Filed under: uncultured bacterium
Lineage: Bacteria
Description: partial 16S ribosomal RNA
Rfam family: Bacterial small subunit ribosomal RNA
Source: RNAcentral